AGCUUUGCGCAGUGGCAGUAUCGUAGCCAAUGAGGUUUAUCCGAGGCGCAAUUAUUGCUAAUAGAAGUCCGUCCUUUCUCACUAUCCAUAUUCAGUACACUAGCAAGACAGGAAAACUUCCUUUAAAAUAUAUUUAUC
Molecule: small nuclear RNA, 138 nt
Organism: Lutra lutra (Eurasian river otter)
Lineage: Eukaryota; Metazoa; Chordata; Mammalia; Carnivora; Mustelidae
Product: U4 spliceosomal RNA
Exons: 1
Source: RefSeq, a predicted model, not a curated record